Long non-coding RNA from Megalobrama amblycephala (Wuchang bream), 1665 nucleotides. RefSeq lists it as uncharacterized. NCBI's taxonomy places the organism in Eukaryota, Metazoa, Chordata, Actinopteri, Cypriniformes, Xenocyprididae. The record is from RefSeq and is a predicted model, not a curated record. The transcript is spliced from 3 exons.
CACCUUUAAGUUAGGCUAACUACACGUUUUUAUAGGAGCAAGAUAUCUAUCGAUAUGUAAAAAUGUGGAUACAUAAUCACUCUGAAAUUAAACAAGGAUGGCACAAAACAUCACCAUAACUAUGUUUCAGUGAUAACUACAUUAAAUACGUUGAAAUGAUGAUAAGAAAUAUUUGAAGGAGUCACUAGCCUAACAGUGGGAUCAUAACAACACUAACAAAGAACAUUAAAUGCUGCAUAACACCUUUCCAGACGCCCAAACAGUGCCUUGCGAACAUAAAGUUCAGUUUUAGGAGCAAUUUGUUAUUAAACACGUUGUGAAGACGCAGUUGCCAAGGUAGGAUGCUAUUAAUAUCAGCGCGGGAAUUAAAUCAAUACGUCAAACAGACUGCGAUUCUACGCCAGUUUUCCGCAUGAUGGCGACUCUGAGGUUUAUAAAGUGCUUCUCUAGCGUCAUUUUCUCUCUUGUGUGAAGCAGAGAGCGGAACAGGCAAAACUUAAAUGUCUCUGAGGAGAAACGCUGAAAAAUAGGACCCAUUGUUCUUGGAAAGCUAAACGGAUUUCAAACGAUUAAAGUCACUGAACUUACAUAGUGAGUGGUGACCGAAGCCGUCGUUUCUGUUUGAGUUUCACUGACGAAAGAAAGUCAUACAGGUUUGAAACAUUGAGGGCUGAAAUAUUCUUGACAGAUUUCGUGAGAAUCGCCCAUGAGUACAAAUUAAGGCAAAAGACUUGUGCGGCCACUGUCCACAUCCAGACAGAGGACAGAUGUUUCCACAACAGAUAUAAUCUCAGGUGGAAGCCUACCCAUCUUUCCUAUCUGACUUCAAACCACAACGAUGUCAGUCCCUGUUAGCGACGGAUUCCUUCAGCCUCCGUCGCUUGACUUUGUACAGGAUGAAUCCCCUCACAGUCUGCACUACAUUUAUUUGGAUAAUCUACAUUUGGAGAUCUAUUUGUGGCUGGACGUCUGUGCUGCACUGUGUCAUGGCCUGAAGAGAGCAUGUGCAGCGGUAGGAUUAAUAAGCCUCUUUCAGUCCGCUUCGGUUAGGCUCAACUCCACAGGAGAGCCGAACAGCGGCCGCAUGCAGCGCACAACACUGCAAUCCAAAACUGAUAGAAUUAGACAAGUCAGCGCUACAGAGCAAGUUUUCUGGAGGAGAGGCAGGAAAAAUAAUUCUAUUGCAUUCAGUAUGUGGUAUGUUUCUUGUUACUUUAAAAGGUACACUAUGUAACUUUUUUUUGUUCAAAACAUUUAACAUUAACAUUUCAAUAAUGUCAUUAGUCCUUCUUCCAAAAUGUGUUUUUGUCUUACCCUGAUUCACUAUGCUAAGCCUAUUAUAAGUGUAUAUAUAUAUAUUUCAUGUGAAAUUGCAUACAUACAUCGCUCGCCCCUUGCGUGUCUUGUCAUAUCUGUAAACAGAGAAAGGUUUCUCCAGCCAUAGAUAUAUAUAUGUUUCUCAGAUGGAUAAAGCAAACCAGCUUCUUGCUAUGAAAGUUUUGAUGGAUGAGGAUUGCAUGCAUGAGUCAGUUAUAUUGAUGCACAAACAAAUCAUGUAUAAGCGCUCUCGACGCACUGAUCGCACAUUGUAUUUAUGCACAGACACAUUUCAGUACAUUCACAUUGUUUUCACACACAUUCAGGAUAAUGUUUGGAUUUGUCCUG